ACGCUCGACACCUACUGGAGGCAGCAGUUGGGAAUAUUGGACAAUGGAGGAAACUCUGAUCCAGUGACGCCGCGUGAAGGAAGAAGGUCUUCGGAUUGUAAACUUAUUUUGUCAGGGAAGAAAAAUGACUGUACCUGAAGAAAAAGCACCGGCUAACUACGUGCCGGCAGCCGCGGUAAUCUGAGCGGGCUGGCAAGGC
This 199-nucleotide ribosomal RNA is filed under the name uncultured bacterium. Its description in RNAcentral is "partial 16S ribosomal RNA". It matches the Rfam family "Bacterial small subunit ribosomal RNA", at positions 328 to 539 of the family's 1533-position model. The record is from RNAcentral.